Molecule: transfer RNA, 86 nt
Filed under: Nitrososphaeria archaeon
Lineage: Archaea; Thermoproteati; Nitrososphaerota; Nitrososphaeria
Description: tRNA-Ser
Rfam family: tRNA
About the family: Transfer RNA (tRNA) molecules are approximately 80 nucleotides in length. Their secondary structure includes four short double-helical elements and three loops (D, anti-codon, and T loops). Further hydrogen bonds mediate the characteristic L-shaped molecular structure. tRNAs have two regions of fundamental functional importance: the anti-codon, which is responsible for specific mRNA codon recognition, and the 3' end, to which the tRNAs corresponding amino acid is attached (by aminoacyl-tRNA synthetases). tRNAs cope with the degeneracy of the genetic code in two manners: having more than one tRNA (with a specific anti-codon) for a particular amino acid; and 'wobble' base-pairing, i.e. permitting non-standard base-pairing at the 3rd anti-codon position.
Source: RNAcentral
GCCGGGAUCGCCUAGCCUGGUAGGGCGAUGGCCUGGAGAGCCAUUGACUCGAAAGAGUCUUGGGGGUUCAAAUCCCCCUCCCGGCG